Cyanidioschyzon merolae strain 10D is the source of this 2272-nucleotide RNA transcript. RefSeq lists it as hypothetical. The record is from RefSeq and is a predicted model, not a curated record. The transcript has a single exon. NCBI's taxonomy places the organism in Eukaryota, Rhodophyta, Bangiophyceae, Cyanidiales, Cyanidiaceae.
GUGAUGCUCACGUUGGAUGGACACGAAUGGAUAGCACUGGAAGAAAAGAGUGAGAGACGAGACUUCGACGCCUCUGCAAGGCCAAUGCGUGCGCACAGUGGAGCACUCGCUCUGGGUAAACGGUAACAAGUCGAAAUCGCACCCUAGGGGUACGGCACGGGUAGCUGCGAUAUCUUCGUUCGGCAUCGCGAACGAGCUACGAACGUGCAAUGCGAGUGUCUGUAUGACGACAGGAGAGAUACGUGGGAUAUCACGCUGGAGCGCUGCUGACUGCGUUGCGUUGUACGCGUGUCAACGUGAAAAAGUAUGGAUCCACUUUGCUGUCUCUGGCGUACGCUGUAAUAUCUGGGUAUCUUGUCGUUGUUGUUUCACCAACACCACUCAUUUCACGAUACGCCCCCUGGCUGCUCUUUUUUGCAGUCUUGGACAAUCCGCUUCACAUACGGGCAUAUCUAGUGUCUAUCCGGCGCCGUCGCAAGCAGUCGCAGAAUGCUCCGAUACAAAUAAACGUCCCGAUAUGGGUGCUUCCUGCGUUAGCCAGCGCACCGGGUACGGACUGGCAGGAGUCGCAGUCUACGCUUCGCUUGCCGUGCUCAUUCUCGUUGUAUACAAUAUCAAUGCGCUCGUCGCAGCGCGGACUGCGUGGGCUCUAUCAGGUGUUUCUGUUUGCGUACUAGCGCGCUCCCUGAGACGAUUGCCCUCUCGCGCUGCACAGCUUGCGUUAUCGCUCGGUAGACGCACUGUGGGCAGGUACAGGAGACUCUUGGGGAUACCGUUGACCGUCUCUUCGCCCGGGUGCUCUGGCCUAGGGUCACGAGCGUCCGCUGUGCCAUUCACUAGGCGAGGACGCUGUACGCUGUCCGGUGCAUGCGCAAGUGCACACUGUUGCAUUCGAGAGUGGAUUUGCAUCACGUGAUGUUCCCCAUGAGCACGAGACAAGUGCCGCAGGGACUAGUCAGUGUCGUGAACAAUUCGAGAGGUGUCGAUCCGUCGACGCUCGCUCUGUGCACCGCACGAUCACACGCUCAGCUGGAAGUGAUCGCUGCGCUGCCUGCAUUCCUGGUCCCUGGAUCGUUCUCGAUGCUUGAAGCAAAGACGGCAGACGCGGGACACGUAUCGCACCCGAGAACGCAUGCUGGUAUGGAAUGUCGUCUCGUCGAUGGCCGCAGACCAAGGCAGCAUCGUGUCUCGAACGGCACUGAAUGCCUGGCGAAGCAUGAUCAGCGAAUGUGUCGCAUGACCAUGAGUGCACAAGUCGCCAACGGAAGACGUCGAGUACGGUUCGUGGUCCAUCCAGAGACGCGAUUUACCGCACCUGCGAGGCGCCACAGACCAGGAAGAUCGAGGACUUGAAAUAUGAGCGAUUUGGGCAUGCCCUAUGGAUCGAGAGGAAAAACGCAGAUACUCGUGUGUAUGCAUUGGGUAAGGAUCUCGGAUACUUUACGAACCAGUGUCCGAGGGCGUCGUGUAUCAUCUCGAUUCCGUUCACGCACCGAAUGCCAGCACCACAAGACUCGAAAGCGUCACGCUAACACAGACUACGACCGAGGAUCCCGGAACCAGGUCUGAACCUGUGAGCACAUCUCGGUGCACUCGCAAUGUCCGUACAGUACGUCUUGACCUGGGUUCUGAAUAGAAUCGCAAGGAACAAAAACACCCAUCCGUCCAGUGUUCUGGUCUCAUUUAUGAAGAGUCUAUCUCAGCCGAUGAGCGCAUUGUCACCCACAAGCAAGGCCCAGUGCCCGAAUUCGCAUUCGCUUGGCGUUAUCCGAUGAAGCGUCUGUCACGAGAGCAAAGCGGUGCGCACGCGCGGUGAUCCAUUCACUGAACAGCAUUUCGAGUGAACGCUUUGCCAGGCGUUCACGAGUGAUCAGUGAAUACGUCGCAGGCGCAGCGCUGCAUUCCGAACAGCGCCAGUGAACGAGCUUCUCUGUGCACGAUCCGAGCGCCUCGCAACAGAGGGGGCCGGCAUCCCACCCAGCUCUCUACUGGAGAGCACCCAGACACCUGCUGGAGAGCGUCGAAUGUUCGUACGGCCCAGUCGCUAGUCGCUAUCGUGCUUAUGCUGCACGGCGAUCAAGGUGCGCAUCGCGACACUUGAAAUAUCGCGUUGCAGAACAUCGUCCCCGCUGUCCAGAAGCAUACGGUUUAUGAAAAAAUCGAGCGUAAAUUGGAGCAAGUGGCCUGCCUCAGGAGCCUCGGAUUCGAUGAUGCACUGUGCGCGAGGGAGCGUCUCGAAUGCUUGUUGUCAUAAAGCGCCUGCAUGGGCAUU